UACGUAGGGUGCAAGCGUUAAUCGGAAUUACUGGGCGUAAAGCGUGCGCAGGCGGUUUUGUAAGUCUGUCGUGAAAUCCCCGGGCUCAACCUGGGAAUUGCGAUGGAGACUGCAAGGCUAGAAUCUGGCAGAGGGGGGUAGAAUUCCACGUGUAGCAGUGAAAUGCGUAGAGAUGCGGAGGAACACCGAUGGCGAAGGCAGCCCCCUGGGCUGACACUGACGCUCAGGCACGAAAGCGUGGGGAGCAAACAGGG
This 254-nucleotide ribosomal RNA is filed under the name uncultured bacterium. RNAcentral's name for it is "partial 16S ribosomal RNA". It matches the Rfam family "Bacterial small subunit ribosomal RNA", at positions 524 to 777 of the family's 1533-position model. The record is from RNAcentral.